GAUGAACGCUAGCGGGAGGCUUAACACAUGCAAGUCGAGGGGCAGCACUGAUAGCAAUAUUAGGUGGCGACCGGCGGACGGGUGAGUAACGCGUAUGCAACCUACCCUUUACAGGGGGAUAGCCCGGAGAAAUUCGGAUUAAUACCCCAUAGAUCAGUGAUUCUGCAUGGGAUUACUGGUAAAGCUUCGGCGGUAAAGGAUGGGCAUGCGUCCCAUUAGCUAGUUGGUAGGGUAACGGCCUACCAAGGCAACGAUGGGUACGGGGUCUUAAAGGAUGGACCCGCACACUGGCACUGAGACACGGGCCAGACUCCUACGGGAGGCAGCAGUGAGGAAUAUUGGUCAAUGGGGGGAACCCUGAACCAGCCAUCCCGCGUGCAGGAAGACAGUUCUAUGGAUUGUAAACUGCUUUUCUUGGGGAAGAAUAAUGACGACGUGUCGUCAGAUGACGGUACCCGAGGAAUAAGCAUCGGCUAACUCCGUGCCAGCAGCCGCGGUAAACUGU
This 505-nucleotide ribosomal RNA is filed under the name uncultured bacterium. RNAcentral describes it as "bacterial SSU rRNA". It matches the Rfam family "Bacterial small subunit ribosomal RNA", at positions 28 to 528 of the family's 1533-position model. The record is from RNAcentral.